GAGAAACUACGCCACCUCCCCUGCAGCCGAGCCGCACGCAGCAGUUCCCCGCGGGAAGUGGGCGACGCCGGCGGGGGGGAAGGGAGACCCGGUCCCCAGCCCCGGCCGGGGGACCCCCGCCGCCCACAGCCAAGAGAACAACUUUUAGCCGGCAGCCUCGGCCAGCACUGCACCUGUCUCCGAAGCCUCCAUCGCUCCUCCUGAUGAUCAAAGGGGAAUUCUAGAAGACUGUGCUCUACAAAUAUACAUGCGCAUCGUUUUCCCCCUUGCGUCUCGCUCCGCAGGAAGGAAAGAGAAACGGAUUAAAGCGGCAGCGUGUGUUCAGCCCCAAGCACCACCAAGCCUUCCUGGAGUGGAACUUUUGCUCAGUUCUUGGCUGGAGGGAUGCAGUACGACUUUCCUUCACUUGUUUUCAGGGACUCUUAACUGGUAAAGAGAGUUUGGGACAUUUUACCAUCUGGAGUUUCUCUGUGCCUUGCUGAUGAUCUGAGCUCAAACCUGCCAGAUAAGAAAACCUCCUGUAACAUCUGAGUAAGUAGAUGCUGUAUCUGCUUUAAUUUAUUGCCUAAAAAAAGAAAAUUUUUUAACAUUU
This 592-nucleotide long non-coding RNA is filed under the name Bos mutus (wild yak). RNAcentral's name for it is "lncRNA (ENSBMUG00000000412.1)". Lineage: Eukaryota; Metazoa; Chordata; Mammalia; Artiodactyla; Bovidae. The record is from RNAcentral.